CAGUCGCCACGGUAAUACAGAGGGUGCGAGCGUUAAUCGGAUUUACUGGGCGUAAAGCGUGCGUAGGCGGCUUUUUAAGUCGGAUGUGAAAUCCCUGAGCUUAACUUAGGAAUUGCAUUCGAUACUGGGAAGCUAGAGUAUGGGAGAGGAUGGUAGAAUUCCAGGUGUAGCGGUGAAAUGCGUAGAGAUCUGGAGGAAUACCGAUGGCGAAGGCAGCCAUCUGGCCUAAUACUGACGCUGAGGUACGAAAGCAUGGGGAGCAAACAGGAUUAGAUACCCGUGUAGUCCCUGUCUCUUUACC
RNAcentral lists this ribosomal RNA (301 nucleotides) under uncultured bacterium. RNAcentral describes it as "partial 16S ribosomal RNA". It matches the Rfam family "Bacterial small subunit ribosomal RNA", at positions 509 to 808 of the family's 1533-position model. The record is from RNAcentral.